Molecule: transfer RNA, 95 nt
Filed under: Tsukamurella paurometabola
Lineage: Bacteria; Bacillati; Actinomycetota; Actinomycetes; Mycobacteriales; Tsukamurellaceae
Description: tRNA-Arg(gcg)
Source: RNAcentral
CGCCUACCGGGUGCUGCAGGAGGCCCUCGUCGAGGCGUACGACGGGGCCGAGGUCGCCUUCAGCGGCCAGGGCGGCUCCAUUCCGCUGUGCACGC